This is a long non-coding RNA of Drosophila sechellia, 1337 nucleotides long. RefSeq lists it as uncharacterized. The record is from RefSeq and is a predicted model, not a curated record. The transcript has 2 exons. Lineage: Eukaryota; Metazoa; Arthropoda; Insecta; Diptera; Drosophilidae.
UGAAUCUAAAAAUAACAAAAAAUUAAAGAGUUAGUUGUCUUCUAUCUGUGACGUAUUACGCCGAACCGGUUACUAAUGUUUGGCAUUUCGUAUUCGUAAAUUAAAAAAACCCCCGUUUUCGCGGAACAGACUAGCCGGCCGAAUAGGGCUGCGACUGCCUUUGUGUGACACCCCUUCGACUUUUCAAAAUUCAAUAAAUCCCAAAUCUUUAGUUAUUAUUUUUUAUUACCAGCUGAUCGCAACUAAUUGCAUGACGUAGUUUUGACGUAUAUACGUAUUUUCUUGUCCAUAAUAAUCACACUAACUGUUCUUCUAGCCUAUGAAAUCUAUUUAAUUCAUUUAAAUCGGAGAUUACAUGAGAAGAAAGACCAUAACCUAAAGUGAAAUUAUGCAUUGAUCACGAAAACAAAACAGGUUUCCUCAAUUUACCACUGACCUCCACAAGUAUUGAAGUGCCGAAACGCAGCUUACUUGUUAAAAGUAAUUUAUUUCAAGUCUGGCGAAUAAAGCCAGUUCAAGUUCAGCAGCAGGCAGCCACUGCAUCAGAAGCCAACAACCCGGUUAGCAAUUUAAAAAAAAUCACAAUGCACAUAAACGAUCAUACACACAUGGAUCGAAUUUGUUUGCGAUUGCAACUUGAGGUGUGCCAACAAAGUAUAAAGGUAUAGAAUCUGCCAGGAUAUUCAAUGGUAUCCGAUCCGAUAUUUCAAACAAAAAAACUUUUUUUUUUUGCUUUUGUCUCCAACAGCUAGUUUCUUGUAAUCAAUUAUUGUGUUAUCAGCAAUCAUACAUACAAUAAUUAUUUGUUAUUAAAUUUAAAUAAAUUACUGAAGCUAGGUUGGCACCUUUAUUGUUAAUGGAAUAAGUAAAUUUAUUCUCUGUUUGUUUGAACCGGUACGGGUUAAAUAACACACAUUUACGGAAGGCAGAUAAACAACGAAACGAAAUUCAAAGCAACUGACUGACAUUGCGGCCACGAAAUCAGGCUGUACAAACAACAUCAGUUUUAUAGCCCUACCUCUAUCCCAUGGGUUGCGUGGUUUAUAUACCGCACUUUAAUUUAUAUUUAGACAAAUGUUUACUUUUAAGCCACCGUCCUCGCAGACGUCGUCUCGUUCAAAACACCUGUGUAAAACGGAAACAUUUUUAAAGCUUGCAAAGUUUUUAAAAAUUAAAAUUUCUACCAAUUUAUAUUUUAGUUGUCCGUAUCAGACACUUAAAGGCACAUCUAAUGACUAAAGCAACUACAUCUGUGCAUAUUUUUAUUUUCGGUAUACACGGAAGAAGGUAUUAUUCUUGAUUGUUUAUAAUAAAAAUAUUUUAAGAUGUUUUUUGUA